GAUGAACGCUGGCGGCGUGCCUAAUACAUGCGAGUCGAGCGAACGGACGAGAAGCUUGCUUCUCUGAUGUUAGCGGCGGACGGGUGAGUAACACGUGGAUAACCUACCUAUAAGACUGGGAUAACUUCGGGAAACCGGAGCUAAUACCGGAUGAUAUUUUGAACCGCAUGGUUCAAAAGUGAAAGACGGUCUUGCUGUCACUUAUAGACGGAUCCGCGCUGCAUUAGCUAGUUGGUAAGGUAACGGCUUACCAAGGCAACGAUGCAUAGCCGACCUGAGAGGGUGAUCGGCCACACUGGAACUGAGACACGGUCCAGACUCCUACGGGAGGCAGCAGUAGGGAAUCUUCCGCAAUGGGCGAAAGCCUGACGGAGCAACGCCGCGUGAGUGAUGAAGGUCUUCGGAUCGUAAAACUCUGUUAUUAGGGAAGAACAUAUGUGUAAGUAACUGUGCACAUCUUGACGGUACCUAAUCAGAAAGCCACGGCUAACUACGUG
This 497-nucleotide ribosomal RNA is filed under the name uncultured bacterium. RNAcentral describes it as "partial 16S ribosomal RNA". It matches the Rfam family "Bacterial small subunit ribosomal RNA", at positions 28 to 507 of the family's 1533-position model. The record is from RNAcentral.